AUUGAACGCUGGCGGCAUGCUUUACACAUGCAAGUCGAACGGCAGCGCGGGCUUCGGCCUGGCGGCGAGUGGCGAACGGGUGAGUAAUACAUCUGAACGUGCCCAGUAGUGGGGGAUAGCUCGGCGAAAGCCGGAUUAAUACCGCAUACGACCUGAGGGUGAAAGCGGGGGAUCUUCGGACCUCGCGCUAUUGGAGCGGCCGAUGGCAGAUUAGCUAGUUGGUGGGGUAAAGGCCUACCAAGGCGACGAUCUGUAGCUGGUCUGAGAGGACGACCAGCCACACUGGGACUGAGACACGGCCAAGACUCCUACGGGAGGCAGCAGUGGGGAAUUUUGGACAAUGGGCGAAAGCCUGAUCCAGCAAUGCCGCGUGUGUGAUGAAGGCCUUCGGGUUGUAAAGCACUUUUGGCGGGAACGAAAAGGACUGUGCCAAUACCACGGUUCGAUGACGGUACCCGCAGAAUAAGCACCGGCUAACUACGUG
This 484-nucleotide ribosomal RNA is filed under the name uncultured bacterium. RNAcentral's name for it is "partial 16S ribosomal RNA". It matches the Rfam family "Bacterial small subunit ribosomal RNA", at positions 29 to 507 of the family's 1533-position model. The record is from RNAcentral.